AUUACUUUUAGACUAUGAUUUCUAAACAACAAAGCACUUUUUAUUUUUUUAUUUUUUUUAGUAAAACUUGUUAUUGGCUGUUAUAAAUAAGUUUUCAAAACUUAUUAAAAUAAAGUAAUAUUUCAAUUAUAGUUUCUUAAAAGUAUGCCAUAUUGCAAAAUAAGCAAAGUGACCGAUUUUUAAAGUACCGCCCCUGACCGCUACUUUAUAUUUGCUCACUUUAUACAAAUACUUUAAUGCGCUUUUUAAACUCAUAUCCAUUCACAAAACUAUUCUUAUUUAAAAUGCAAUCACAAUUUUGUGCAAUCACAACAAUCCGUUUUAAAAUGCAAUCACAACAAUCCGUGCUUUGUUCAUGUGAAUUGGACCUUAUGAUUUUAGCGAAUAAAAUACCAUUUUAAUGAUUAAAGCUGAUUUGAAAAACCUACGCCUUCCUAAACAUUUAAAUACAGACAUUAACAAAAAAGCAGUUCUACAAAUAAGCGAAGAAAGUGCAGAAAAUAUGAUAAAAUAAACAACAGAUGCCAUGCUUAAUAUAUACCAAGAAUGAACUAGAAUUUUCGUUAAAGAUAUCCUGAAAAGAGCACUGAAUAGAAAAAGCGUCGGUGACCGUGAAAAACUAAACAUUGAUAUAUUUUAGAUCUGUAAUUUGAUAAAUUUUUAGUCUUGUGUAUACUUUCAA
This is a long non-coding RNA of Hydra vulgaris (swiftwater hydra), 682 nucleotides long. RefSeq lists it as uncharacterized. The record is from RefSeq and is a predicted model, not a curated record. NCBI's taxonomy places the organism in Eukaryota, Metazoa, Cnidaria, Hydrozoa, Anthoathecata, Hydridae.